This 468-nucleotide ribosomal RNA is filed under the name uncultured bacterium. Its description in RNAcentral is "partial 16S ribosomal RNA". It matches the Rfam family "Bacterial small subunit ribosomal RNA", at positions 28 to 507 of the family's 1533-position model. The record is from RNAcentral.
GAUGAACGCUGGCGGCGUGCUUAACACAUGCAAGUCGAACGGAAGGGCCCGGCUCUUGUUGGUUGCUUGAUAGGCGAACGGGUGAGUAAAACGCGAGUAACCUCCCCUUGACUUUGGGGUAACUUCAGGAAACUCGGGCUCUUACCGGAUAGGAUCUCCUGCUGCAUGGUGGGGGUAGGAAAGUUUCGGCGGUGGGGGCUGGACUCGCUGGUUACCAGCUUGUUGGGGGAGUAGUGGCGUACGAAGGCUUUGAAGGAUAGCCGGCCUGGGAGGGUGACCGGGGUCCUUGGUCCUGCGGUACGCACCAGACGCCAACGGGAGGCAGCAGUCGGGAAUAUUGCACAAUGGGCGGAAGCCUGAUGCAGCAGCCCCGCGUGCGGGAUGACGGCCUUCGGGUUGAGAACCGCUUUCGCCUGUGACGAAGCGUGAGUGACGGUACUGGGUAAAGAAGCACCGGCUAACUACGUG